RNAcentral lists this ribosomal RNA (421 nucleotides) under uncultured bacterium. RNAcentral describes it as "partial 16S ribosomal RNA". It matches the Rfam family "Bacterial small subunit ribosomal RNA", at positions 359 to 773 of the family's 1533-position model. The record is from RNAcentral.
GAAUUUUGGACAAUGGGGGCAACCCUGAUCCAGCCAUCCCGCGUGUGCGAUGAAGGCCUUCGGGUUGUAAAGCACUUUUGGCAGGGCAGAAAAGGCUCUGGCUAAUACCUGGAGCUGCUGACGGUACCUGCAGAAUAAGCCCCGGCUACCUACGCGCGAGCAGCCGCGGUAAGACGUAGGGUGCAAGGGUUAAUCGGAAUUACGGGGCGUAAGGGGUGCGCAGGCGGUUCGGCAAGAAGGAUGUGAAAGCCCAGGGCUUAACCUUGGAACUGCAUUCUUAACUGCCGGGAUAGAGUAUGUCAGAGGGGGGUAGAAUUCCGCGUGUAGCAGUGAAAUGCGUAGAGAUGCGGGGGAAUACCGAUGGCGAAGGCAGCCCCCUGGGAUAAUACUGACGCUCAUGCACGAAGCGUGGGGAGCAAAC